Molecule: transfer RNA, 72 nt
Filed under: Opitutales bacterium
Lineage: Bacteria; Pseudomonadati; Verrucomicrobiota; Opitutia; Opitutales
Description: tRNA-Glu
Rfam family: tRNA
About the family: Transfer RNA (tRNA) molecules are approximately 80 nucleotides in length. Their secondary structure includes four short double-helical elements and three loops (D, anti-codon, and T loops). Further hydrogen bonds mediate the characteristic L-shaped molecular structure. tRNAs have two regions of fundamental functional importance: the anti-codon, which is responsible for specific mRNA codon recognition, and the 3' end, to which the tRNAs corresponding amino acid is attached (by aminoacyl-tRNA synthetases). tRNAs cope with the degeneracy of the genetic code in two manners: having more than one tRNA (with a specific anti-codon) for a particular amino acid; and 'wobble' base-pairing, i.e. permitting non-standard base-pairing at the 3rd anti-codon position.
Source: RNAcentral
GCCAUCUUCGUCUAGGGGUUAGGACCUUGGAACCUCAUUCCAAAGACAUCGGUUCGAAUCCGAUAGAUGGUG